GGCCGGGUGGAGAGGCGUUAAUAAAAUACCCGUAAGGGGAAUAUGCCUGGAGCUUCUGAUAUGGCUCUAGUUGACACCCGGUCGCCAUCUA
This 91-nucleotide non-coding RNA is filed under the name Serratia symbiotica SCt-VLC. Its description in RNAcentral is "sRNA-Xcc1". It matches the Rfam family "sRNA-Xcc1". Lineage: Bacteria; Pseudomonadati; Pseudomonadota; Gammaproteobacteria; Enterobacterales; Yersiniaceae. The record is from RNAcentral.